AUUGAACGCUGGCGGCAGGCCUAACACAUGCAAGUCGAACGGUAACAGGAAACAGCUUGCUGUUUCGCUGACGAGUGGCGGACGGGUGAGUAAUGUCUGGGAAACUGCCUGAUGGAGGGGGAUAACUACUGGAAACGGUAGCUAAUACCGCAUAACGUCGCAAGACCAAAGAGGUGGACCCUCGGGCCUCUUGCCAUCGGAUGUGCCCAGAUGGGAUUAGCUUGUUGGUGGGGUAACGGCUCACCAAGGCGACGAUCCCUAGCUGGUCUGAGAGGAUGACCAGCCACACUGGAACUGAGACACGGUCCAGACUCCUACGGGAGGCAGCAGUGGGGAAUAUUGCACAAUGGGCGCAAGCCUGAUGCAGCCAUGCCGCGUGUAUGAAGAAGGCCUUCGGGUUGUAAAGUACUUUCAGCGGGGAGGAAGGGAGUAAAGUUAAUACCUUUGCUCAUUGACGUUACCCGCAGAAGAAGCACCGGCUAACUCCGUG
Molecule: ribosomal RNA, 490 nt
Filed under: uncultured bacterium
Lineage: Bacteria
Description: partial 16S ribosomal RNA
Rfam family: Bacterial small subunit ribosomal RNA
Source: RNAcentral